RNAcentral lists this ribosomal RNA (253 nucleotides) under uncultured bacterium. RNAcentral's name for it is "partial 16S ribosomal RNA". It matches the Rfam family "Bacterial small subunit ribosomal RNA", at positions 524 to 776 of the family's 1533-position model. The record is from RNAcentral.
UACGUAGGGUGCAAGCGUUAAUCGGAAUUACUGGGCGUAAAGCGUGCGCAGGCGGUUAUAUAAGACAGUUGUGAAAUCCCCGGGCUCAACCUGGGAAUUGCAUCUGUGACUGUAUAGCUAGAGUACGGUAGAGGGGGAUGGAAUUCCGCGUGUAGCAGUGAAAUGCGUAGAUAUGCGGAGGAACACCGAUGGCGAAGGCAAUCCCCUGGACCUGUACUGACGCUCAUGCACGAAAGCGUGGGGAGCAAACAGA